RNAcentral lists this long non-coding RNA (1844 nucleotides) under Homo sapiens (human). RNAcentral describes it as "long non-coding RNA NONHSAT175847.1". The record is from RNAcentral. Lineage: Eukaryota; Metazoa; Chordata; Mammalia; Primates; Hominidae.
CUUGUCCGUGCUCGUGACCAUUGAAAUGUGCAAUGCCCUCAACAGCGUCUCGGAGAACCAGUCGCUGCUGCGGAUGCCGCCCUGGAUGAACCCCUGGCUGCUGGUGGCUGUGGCCAUGUCCAUGGCCCUGCACUUCCUCAUCCUGCUCGUGCCGCCCCUGCCUCUCAUUUUCCAGGUGACCCCACUGAGCGGGCGCCAGUGGGUGGUGGUGCUCCAGAUAUCUCUGCCUGUCAUCCUGCUGGAUGAGGCCCUCAAGUACCUGUCCCGGAACCACAUGCACGAAAUGAGCCAGAAGUGAGCGCUGGGAACAGAGUGGAGUCUCCGGUGUGUACCUCAGACUGAUGGUGCCCAUGUGUUCGCCUCCGCCCCCCACCCUUGCCACCACACUCGCCCACUUGCCCACCGGGUCCCGCCGGAUAAAUGACAGGCCCGAGGUCAGAAUGGCCAUCCCCGGGCCCCGUCCUGGGGUCUCUGUCCCCACUUCCUUCUGGCCUGGGAGGUCUGUAAUUCCUGUCUCCUGGACUCUCCUGGGAAGUUCCCUGCUCUGCAGCUCUGGCCCAGGAGCUGCAGGCUGGGAGGGGGCAGCCAAGAAGCCGGAGCUGGCAGCAUACCCAGAGAUCCGGGGCCCCCCCACCCCCAAAUCACGAGUGCAGCUGGAGCUUGCUCCCCCUUGUUCGGAAGCUGGACGUUCACUUGGUGACUGGUGCCUCUGCACUGACGGAGGACUCUGGGGGUCCUUCUUACCGGCUCUGACCUCUCUCUUCGUGCCUGGUCUGGGACUGGGUCAGCCCUGGGGGAUCAGAAGGGGCCAUCUGGGCCCAGCUGUGUACAGCGAGGGUGGGCAGCCCCCUCCACUCCACUCUGCUUCCACAAAGUCGGCUCCCGAGAGCUCGAGGCUGCUUCUGUUUAUAUGUGCAGGGCCCGGGCGGGUGAAGGGUCAGAGAGACGGACACAAGGAGCCGGCAGGAGGGCGGAGCGAGGAUGUCCUUUCCCGGGAGACAAGUCGGGAAAGCCUGGCUGGACUGCCUCAGCCCCGCGCGCCUCCUGGACUCAGGGUUCCCCGUCCUGAGCUCGGGAGAUGUUCAGAGUCACACUGCCGCCCGGUCUGCCACGCAGAGGUCCAACUUGCCACCCGCGUCCCUGGUACCUGAGACCACCGACAUCCUCAGGUUCCUGACCGUGGCGCCCUUCUACCCAGCCCAGUGUGCGGCCGCCGCGCUGUCUGCACAGCUGGGGGCCUCUGAGCCUGGUGGGCUUCCUGGACUCUUGGCCUCACUCCUUGCCCCCUCCCCACGACACCCAUGAGCCGAAAGGAUGUCACUAAGGAUGGCUGAUUCCCCAAGGGCACCCGCUCUCCCUCCCUCCCUGCUGGAGGAACACGUCAUAUCAGAUGAGAGGAAGAUGGCCUCUGAUGGACAGAAUUUUUCUCUUAACUCAGCUUUUGCUACUUUGGCAAAAACUAGCGAGGGGUAGCAGAAACCUGCACCAAGGAUUGUCCCUAUGUCUUGGCCACUCCUAGAGCGUGUGCAGACUGAUGAUUUUAUAUGUAAAUCAAGACUCACAUCCCUUUCCUAGUCCCCCACAUCCAAAGCCCCUCAGCCUGCCUUGCAGACCAAUGGGCUCCAUGUUCUGUAGCCCCCUCCCCUACGCCUCACCCCUCCUCCCUCUCACAGGUUCUGGGCGGCCAGUGAGAGAAACGCAGUGGGGGAGGCAGGGAGUCUGGUGCCUGCAGAGAUUCUCUGCUUCUUUCCUGGGGGGAGGUGGGGAGGUCUUAGCAGGAGCGGGCCCUGUACCCACCUGCUGACCUGCUGUUUGGUAGAGAAAUAAAGGUUGUGUGACUGGGG